Molecule: ribosomal RNA, 392 nt
Filed under: uncultured bacterium
Lineage: Bacteria
Description: partial 16S ribosomal RNA
Rfam family: Bacterial small subunit ribosomal RNA
Source: RNAcentral
AUACGGAGGAUGCGAGCGUUAUCCGGAUUUAUUGGGUUUAAAGGGAGCGUAGGCGGGAGCUUAAGUCAGCGGUUAAAUGGUGCGGCUCAACCGUGCCCUGCCGUUGAAACUGGGUUUCUUGAGAGUGCAAGAGGCGGAUGGAAUUCAUGGUGUAGCGGGGAAAUGCUUAGAUAUCAUGAAGAACUCCGAUUGCGAAGGCAGUCCGCUGGGGCACGUCUGACGCUGAUGCUCGAAGGUGCGGGAAUCAAACAGGAUUAGAUACCCUGGUAGUCCGCACGGUAAACGAUGAUUACCCGCUGUCGGCGGUAGACAGUCGGCGGCCAAGCGAAAGCGAUAAGUAAUCCACCUGGGGAGUGCGCCGGCAACGGUGAAACUCAAAGGAAUUGACGGGG